AGUAACACGAAAUGACUAUGCCAUCACCUCUGUGUCCAUGCAUGGCUUUUUGGUUUUGUGGACAAACCACAGCCAGCAUUAUAGAUGGAGGGAGGGCAGAUGGCAUUAGUUAGCACCUACCAUCUACCAGCUGAUUUCCCUACACCAUCUUAUCAAAACCACCUGGUGUGCUAACGAGGGAAGUUAGGUGCUGCUGUUCUCAUUUUAUUGGGAGUCCACCCGAAUCCAGUCAGAGGUCUGCAGGGCCAGCCGGGCCAUGGCUACUCGGUGAUGGGAAGCCACCAGGUCUUUCUUCCCAUAGCUGUCAUUGACAGAUGCUUGCUGGCUCAUGUCCCUGACUGCUAUUUCUGUGGGCUCCUAAGACAGAACCAAGAUAGACACGUUGAGGCCUGACUGGACCAUGAAGCGAGAGGACAUUAAAAGGGGACCACCCAUCACAUCAGAGUCAGCAUGACUGGGCACUAAUGGUAAAGGUCCCCUUUAAGACUGAAGAUGAGCUUCAUUGAGACAGCUGAAAGAAAAAGAGAGAUCAUCACCCUGGACAUGAUGGGGACGGGGUUCCUCAGGAGGAUGAGAAAGAUUGAGCAUGAACAAAGGGGAUGAGCAAAGGAGAUGGUCUUGCUUUUACAAGCUUUCUGGGCCUGUGAACCAUGAUGCAACUGUGAGGCCAGCUUUACACAUGUGCCUGGAGUUAGGUCAGCAUUGGGACCUGAUCUGCAGCUAUUCCUGGAAGGCUUCUAUGGCUUAGAUGUGGGGUAAGUGCAUCUUCCCAAG
This is a long non-coding RNA of Peromyscus eremicus (cactus mouse), 774 nucleotides long. RefSeq lists it as uncharacterized. Lineage: Eukaryota; Metazoa; Chordata; Mammalia; Rodentia; Cricetidae. The transcript is spliced from 4 exons. The record is from RefSeq and is a predicted model, not a curated record.